Molecule: long non-coding RNA, 1186 nt
Filed under: Sus scrofa (pig)
Lineage: Eukaryota; Metazoa; Chordata; Mammalia; Artiodactyla; Suidae
Description: lncRNA (ENSSSCG00015056266.1)
Source: RNAcentral
UAAGCAUAGGCUAUGUGUGUUUGUUUUUUAAUCCUGGACUAGAAGUACUGUAGGGCUGUGGCCUUGCCUAUGGGCUGUGUGUGAGACAACUGUGUACUUGCUGGUUUUAGUGAUCUUGUAUACAUAGUAUUCAACAUUUACACCUGGUCAUUGUUUGUAUUUAGGCCCCUAUUUUGUAUGUAUAUGGUGUUGUAGUGUUACCAGGUAGGGUUCUUGGCCUCCCCUCAUAAAUACUAAUUGAUAUGAGGCCAGAGAUCAAAUUCAUGCAAGGUUUUAUUCUGCACACCUACUUCAAAAACAAACAUUAUAUUCCCAUGUUCAGCUGCACACUGUGUAGGGGUGAGGCAGUUCCUUUUAUAGGAUGAGGUUUUGGGCAUGUGCAGGGGUUUGGCCGGAGGGGUAGCUGAGGUGGUUUUCCCACUCCUUAAAUAGUGGUGCAUGUAGGGGGUGUACAUAGUCCCCUGCUUUUGUCUCUGUUCUUCAAAAGUGGCAAUUGUAUCUUUCUCAUAAUUUGUCCCAAAUGUGCAAGCACAUGGUUCUUUCUAGUCAUUUAUAUUUUUGCUGUAUUUCAUUCUCCAGGAGAGGUUUGUCUACGUGCAAUCACUGCAGCCACUACAGCAAAGGGUGCCAGUUCCCAACCUGUCUCAGCCAGAAAGGCAGUUCAGUAUUCAAGUGACACAGAGAUGGGAUUAAGAUGGCAGAAUAGAAGGACUGGAGCUCAACUUCUCUCCUAAAAUCAACAAAAUUCACAACUAAAGGCUGAGCAAUCUUCAACCAAAUGGACUGGAAACCUUAAAAAAGAUAUCCUACUCCAGAAGAAAAAGAGGAGGCCACAUCAAGAGGUAGGAGGGUGUUUACAUGAUAUAAGCAACCACAUACCUCCCGGGUGGGAAGCCCCACAGACUGGAAACUAACUGGUUCACAGAGACUCACCUACAGGAGUGAGACUUCUGAGCCCCACAACAAACUCUCACAUGUGGGGAUCUGGCACUGGGAGAAAGAUCUCCUGGAGCAUCUGGCAUUGAAGGCCGGUGGGGUUUGUGUGCAGGAGCUCCACAGGCCUGGGGAAAACGGAGACCCCAUUCUUAAAACGUGUGCACAGUCUUUCACAUGCACUGGCUCCCAGGGAAAAGCAAAGUCUCCAUAGGAAUCUGGGUCAAACCUGACUGCAGUUCUCGGAGGACAU